RNAcentral lists this ribosomal RNA (497 nucleotides) under uncultured bacterium. Its description in RNAcentral is "partial 16S ribosomal RNA". It matches the Rfam family "Bacterial small subunit ribosomal RNA", at positions 28 to 507 of the family's 1533-position model. The record is from RNAcentral.
GAUGAACGCUGGCGGCGUGCCUAAUACAUGCAAGUCGAGCGAACGGACGAGAAGCUUGCUUCUCUGAUGUUAGCGGCGGACGGGUGAGUAACACGUGGAUAACCUACCUAUAAGACUGGGAUAACUUCGGGAAACCGGAGCUAAUUCCGGAUAAUAUUUUGAACCGCAUGGUUCAAAAGUGAAAGACGGUCUUGCUGUCACUUAUAGAUGGAUCCGCGCUGCAUUAGCUAGUUGGUAAGGUAACGGCUUACCAAGGCAACGAUGCAUAGCCGACCUGAGAGAGUGAUCGGCCACACUGGAACUGAGACACGGUCCAGGCUCCUACGGGAGGCAGCAGUAGGGAAUCUUCCGCAAUGGGCGAAAGCCUGACGGAGCGACGCCGCGUGAGUGAUGAAGGUCUUCGGAUCGUAAAACUCUGUUAUUAGGGAAGAACAUAUGUGUAAGUAACUGUGCACAUCUUGACGGUACCUAAUCAGAAAGCCACGGCUAACUACGUG